Molecule: ribosomal RNA, 468 nt
Filed under: uncultured bacterium
Lineage: Bacteria
Description: partial 16S ribosomal RNA
Rfam family: Bacterial small subunit ribosomal RNA
Source: RNAcentral
GACGAACGCUGGCGGCGUGCUUAACACAUGCAAGUCGAACGGAAAGGCCCUGCUUUUGUGGGGUGCUCGAGUGGCGAACGGGUGAGUAACACGUGAGUAACCUGCCCUUGACUUUGGGAUAACUUCAGGAAACUGGGGCUAAUACCGGAUAGGAGCUCCUGCUGCAUGGUGGGGGUUGGAAAGUUUCGGCGGUUGGGGAUGGACUCGCGGCUUAUCAGCUUGUUGGUGGGGUAGUGGCUUACGAAGGCUUUGACGGGUAGCCGGCCUGAGAGGGUGGCCGGCCACAUUGGGACUGGGAUACGGCACAGACUCCUCCGGGAGGCAGCAGUGGGGAAUAUUGCACAAUGGGCGGAAGCCUGAUGCAGCAACGCCGCGUGCGGGAUGACGGCCUUCGGGUUGUAAACCGCUUUCGCCUGUGACGAAGCGUGAGUGACGGUAAUGGGUAAAGAAGCACCGGCUAACUACGUG